AUGCUCUUCCCCAGUAGCUCUACACAGGCUGUGUUCCACAGUAAACAGCAGCAGUACUGGUUUCAGUUGUAUUGAUGCAGCCGAGCAGUGAUAUCGUGACAGUGCGUAGGUGGACUUUUCCAGUAUGUGACAUCAUCACAUCUCACCCAGUAACCACCGUCAGAGGGAUCUGACGCUCCGGCCGACUCUACACAGCGAGAUCGGUGACUGUGUGCACGGUUAUAGCCGGCAUUUUUUCAUGGCCGUGUCCCAAUUCACUACCCGGAGCAGCGCUAGAGUAUUGGACCGUGACCUUGAUGACAACACGGGUUCAAUCCCGUGUGAGAAGCGCUCUCUGUCCUUCAUACUGUCAUGGAGGCCUGAAAGAACUGUGUGGAGCUUCAGGAUACAUCAGAAAUACAGUAUAUUCACCAUAGGAGAAGAACAGUGGACAACACUGUUCUUGGAUGUCCAUCAAUAUGGAGAAAGAAAGGAGUACGCCAGUCGUUAACAGAGUAAAAGGAAAAACAGAUGAGAAAUACUGUUUAAAUGCCUGGCACUGUAUGAGUUUAGCGCUCCAUCAGAUUCAUCAGAGCGAGCCUUCAGGACCACCUCAGUCCUUCCUCGCCCAGCAGAGGCUCCAGACCCAGAGCAGGAGGGGGUUCAUCUCCAGACCCAAACUUUAAUCAUCAGACUCACGAGCUCAAGAGCUUGGUCUCCCUCUGCUGGCAGCUGGUGCAAAGUGAUGUGGGCACCUCUUCUUAUUCAAUGUUUUAUCUUUAUUUCUUUAUUUAAUUCAUUUUCUACAUUGUAGAUUAAUAUUAAAGACAUGAAAGCAAUUAAGGGACACAUAUCAUAUGGAAUUAUGCAGUAAACAGUAAAAAAAAAAUGUGUUAUUACUCCACAUUAAUCCCCUGAUCAAAAUCUGAUGAACUGAGAUGGUGAUUUGAGGGGAUUUAAUUGGAAUGAGCUGGAGCUUCACAGCGUGAAGGAAAGAAAAGCAGCAACUAUUGUUCAGCACCUCCGGGAACUCCUUCCUUCCAGAUGCUGAGAAAACUAUUCCAGGAGACUCUCCCUCAUGAAGAUACUGAGAUUAAAAUCUCACCAAGAGUGUGUAGAUCUGUCCUCAAAGAUACAUGUGGCUAAUUAGAAGAAUCUAAAGUAUAAACCAUAUUCUGGUUUGUUUAAAACAGUUUUUAUUUACAUAAUAAUUGAGCAUGUGUUUUAGUAGAGCUUUAAUCUAGUCUUCAAUAUUCAAUUUACACUGUUAAAAAAAAAUAAAGAAUGGGAAGAGGUGUUUCCAAACUUUUGACUGGUACUGUACAUUAAAUGUAUAUUUUGUUAAACAUACUCAUUUAAUAAUAAUUAAUGCUCAUUUAGCUUACUUGUGUUAUGUUACAUU
Long non-coding RNA from Astyanax mexicanus (Mexican tetra), 1381 nucleotides. RefSeq lists it as uncharacterized. Lineage: Eukaryota; Metazoa; Chordata; Actinopteri; Characiformes; Acestrorhamphidae. The record is from RefSeq and is a predicted model, not a curated record. The transcript has 5 exons.